UUUGCCCGCCUCCCCUCUCCCUCCCUCCCUCCAAGACCCAAACCCUAAGCCCCCCAUCCGCCGCCACCACCACCUCCCUCCAAUCUAGCACACCUUUCCUCUCUGCAUCGCGCCCAGCCGAUUCCCCACCAUCUCGUCUCACGAAUCCCCUGACCCAGCGACGAUUGCGAUGGAGAUCAACAUCCACGCCGACGUCUGCUCCACCCUAGCAAGAUCCACGGUGAGGGGAACGCGCCUCCCGGUGGCGGCGAUGGCAUCAGCAGCGGUGGCGGAGUCGGAGGGCCGGCGAGCGGAAGCUGGGCUUCGGGAUUGCCCACCUGCUUUCCCUAGAUGCAACUUGUCAUCGACAACGGCAGGCUCUCCCUUUCCUCCGGCGAUAGGUCCUUGCACGCUCACAUCGCGCGGCCCCUCCACCUCCUCGGUCGCAGCUUAUGAGCAGGGGCGCCGUGCAAUCAAAGCCACCGACGAACGACACCUGACGCUGACUAGCUGCGUGGGCAGCCAAUACCACAACCCCAUCCUCUAUGCGUAGAUCCGUCCACCCCCGUCCUCGGCGACGCCGAUCCGGCCUCCACGGAUCUCGUGUGCCCCGCCAGCAGAAGUAGAGCAACAUGAAUCAUGGGUGAAAUCGCAGUGCUGCUGGACCAAGUCAUGUACGACAGGCUGCUCACCGAGGUGAGGAGGUUCAAGCAGAUAACAGUAUAACAUCCUCCGCCCUCUUUGAGCUCCUUUGGAUGUUGGAUGCAAGAACGGACCCCUGUAGGCUGGGAGAGCUUCUGAUGAUGCAACAUCAAGAAUGGACAUGGUCUGGCCGUCAGAAUGUUAACGACUGAUAUUGUUCUGCAUCCUGCAUGUGUUCAUUCUGGGCUUAUUUUGCUGUAUAUAUGUGAUUUAAGCUGUGUGAAUAUUGUAAUAGACUUAAUUAUUGCUGUUGUGAAAAAUGUU
This is a long non-coding RNA of Lolium perenne, 945 nucleotides long. RefSeq lists it as uncharacterized. The record is from RefSeq and is a predicted model, not a curated record. Lineage: Eukaryota; Viridiplantae; Streptophyta; Magnoliopsida; Poales; Poaceae.